CGGAUACUUAGCUUGCUAAGUAUGCCGGCGACCGGCGCACGGGUGAGUAACGCGUACCGAACCUGCCCAUCACACAGGGAUAGGCUUGCGAAAGCAAGAUUAAUACCUGAUGGUCUCAAUUUUAUGCAUGUAUGAUUGAGUAAAGCCUUCGGGCGGUGAUGGAUGGCGGUGCGUCCCAUUAGGAAGUUGGCGGGGUAACGGCCCACCAAUCCUUCGAUGGGUAGGGGUUCUGAGAGGAAGGUCCCCCACAUUGGAACUGAGAUACGGUCCAAACUCCUACGGGAGGCAGCAGUGAGGAAUAUUGGUCAAUGGGCGAGAGCCUGAACCAGCCAAGUAGCGUGCGGGAUGAAGGCCCUUGUGGUCGUAAACCGCUUUUAUCAGUGAAUAAAGUGCAUCACGUGUGGUGUCAUUGCAGGUAGCUGAAGAAAAAGGACCGGCUAAUUCCGUGCCAGCAGCCGCGGUAAUACGGAAGGUCCGGGCGUUAUCCGGAAUUAUUGGGUUUAAAGGGAGCGCAGGCGGGAGUAUAAGUCAGCUGUUAAAUAUCAGAGCCCAACUCUGUUAUGCAGUUGAAACUAUAUUUCUUGAGUACGCACAGGGAUGGCGGAAUUCAGGGUGUAGCGGUGAAAUGCUUAGAUAUCCUGAAGAACUCCGAUCGCGAAGGCAGCCAUCCGGAGCGUAACUGACG
RNAcentral lists this ribosomal RNA (685 nucleotides) under uncultured Bacteroidales bacterium. RNAcentral describes it as "bacterial SSU rRNA". It matches the Rfam family "Bacterial small subunit ribosomal RNA", at positions 68 to 745 of the family's 1533-position model. The record is from RNAcentral. Lineage: Bacteria; Pseudomonadati; Bacteroidota; Bacteroidia; Bacteroidales.